Molecule: long non-coding RNA, 248 nt
Filed under: Mytilus galloprovincialis (Mediterranean mussel)
Lineage: Eukaryota; Metazoa; Mollusca; Bivalvia; Mytilida; Mytilidae
Source: RNAcentral
AAAAUGAGAAGGUCAGGGGUUAAAAAAUCCACUAGCCCGACGCCCGGGACUAGAUCAUUUACGCCUCGGGCAAUUAAAAUGUGUAAUCCGAUAUGCCCGACGGACUAGUAACAAAAAAUUCUUGACGUUUCCAAAAUAGAAAGUGAAAAAUCCCUUCAUCACUAUUCUAUGUUAGCCAUUUCGAUUCAAUUAAGUCAUCCGGGAUUCCAAUAAUUUGAACUGGUUUGUACAGGUCCUGUUGUACAUAU